GGGAAUGUGGCUCAGUGAUAGAGUGCUUGCCUAGCAUGUAUGAAACUUAGGGUUUGAUUCCUCAGUUCCA
This 70-nucleotide transfer RNA is filed under the name Dipodomys ordii (Ord's kangaroo rat). It matches the Rfam family "tRNA". From Rfam's summary of the family: Transfer RNA (tRNA) molecules are approximately 80 nucleotides in length. The record is from Rfam by way of RNAcentral. Lineage: Eukaryota; Metazoa; Chordata; Mammalia; Rodentia; Heteromyidae.